Molecule: ribosomal RNA, 460 nt
Filed under: uncultured bacterium
Lineage: Bacteria
Description: partial 16S ribosomal RNA
Rfam family: Bacterial small subunit ribosomal RNA
Source: RNAcentral
CCUACGGGAGGCAGCAGUGAGGAAUAUUGGUCAAUGGGCUUACGCCUGAACCAGCCAAGUCGCGUGAGGGAAGACUGCCCUAUGGGUUGUAAACCUCUUUUGUCAGGGAGCAACGCCGGCUACGUGUACCCGGACUGAGAGUAUCUGAAGAAAAAGCAUCGGCUACCUCCGUGCAAGCAGCCGCGGUAAUACGGAGGAUGCGAGCGUUAUCCGGAUUUAUUGGGUUUAAAGGGUGCGUAGGCGGAAUGCCAAGUCAGCGGUAAAAUCGCGGGGCUCAACCUCGCUCCGCCGUUGAAACUGGCGUUCUUGAGUGGGCGAGAAGUAUGCGGAAUGCGUGGUGUAGCGGUGAAAUGCAUAAAUAUCACGCAGAACUCCGAUUGCGAAGGCAGCAUACCGGCGCCCAACUGACGCUGAAGCACGAAAGCGUGGGUAUCGAACAGGAUUAGAUACCCCUGUAGUC